CAGCCGCCGCGGGAAUACGUAGGGCGCAAGCGUUAUCCGGAAUUAUUGGGCGUAAAGAGCUCGUAGGCGGUUUGUCGCGUCUGCCGUGAAAGUCCGGGACUCAACCCCGGAUCUGCGGUGGGUACGGGCAGACUAGAGUGAUGUAGGGGAGACUGGAAUUCCUGGUGUAGCGGUGAAAUGCGCAGAUAUCAGGAGGAACACCGAUGGCGAAGGCAGGUCUCUGGGCAUUAACUGACGCUGAGGAGCGAAAGCAUGGGGAGCGAACAGGAUUAGAGACCCCGGUAGUCCCUGUCUCUUAUAA
Molecule: ribosomal RNA, 301 nt
Filed under: uncultured bacterium
Lineage: Bacteria
Description: partial 16S ribosomal RNA
Rfam family: Bacterial small subunit ribosomal RNA
Source: RNAcentral